CCCUUAGAUGUCCGGGGCUGCACGCGCGCUACACUGAAGGAAUCAGCGUGCUAAAACCAUUGUCGAAAGGCAUUGGUAAACCCAUUAAAAUCCUACGUGAUUGGGAUCGGGAAUUGCAAUUAUUUCCCUUGAACGAGGAAUUCCCAGUAAGUGUGGGUCAUAAGCUCGCGUUGAUUACGUCCCUGCCCUUUGUACACACCGCCCGUCGCUGCCCGGGACUGAGCCGUUUCGAGAAAAGCGGGGACUGCUGCUGUCGGGGCUUUCGGGCCUUGGCUUCGGUGGAAACCGCUUUAAUCGCAGUGGCUUGAACCGGGCGAAAGUCGUAACA
This 328-nucleotide ribosomal RNA is filed under the name uncultured eukaryote. Its description in RNAcentral is "partial 18S ribosomal RNA". It matches the Rfam family "Eukaryotic small subunit ribosomal RNA", at positions 1470 to 1796 of the family's 1831-position model. The record is from RNAcentral.